GACGAACGCUGGCGGCGUGCUUAACACAUGCAAGUCGAACGGAAAGGCCUCUUUCGGGGGGUACUCGAGUGGCGAACGGGUGAGUAACACGUGAGUAACCUGCCCUUGACUUUGUGAUAACUUCAGGAAACUGGGGCUAAUACCGGAUAGGAGCUCCUGCUGCAUGGUGGGGGUUGGAAAGUUUCGGCGGUUGGGGAUGGACUCGCGGCUUAUCAGCUUGUUGGUGGGGUAGUGGCUUACCAAGGCUUUGACGGGUAGCCGGCCUGAGAGGGUGACCGGCCACAUUGGGACUGAGAUACGGCCCAGACUCCUACGGGAGGCAGCAGUGGGGAAUAUUGCACAAUGGGUGGAAGCCUGAUGCAGCAACGCCGUGUGCGGGAUGACGGCCUUCGGGUUGUAAACCGCUUUCGCUCAUGACGAAGCUUUGUGUGACGGUAGUGGGUAAAGAAGCACCGGCUAACUACGUG
Molecule: ribosomal RNA, 467 nt
Filed under: uncultured bacterium
Lineage: Bacteria
Description: partial 16S ribosomal RNA
Rfam family: Bacterial small subunit ribosomal RNA
Source: RNAcentral